RNAcentral lists this unclassified non-coding RNA (394 nucleotides) under fungal sp. RNAcentral describes it as "partial internal transcribed spacer region". The stretch from base 1 to 46 matches the Rfam family "Eukaryotic small subunit ribosomal RNA", at positions 1786 to 1831 of the family's 1831-position model. The record is from RNAcentral. Lineage: Eukaryota; Fungi.
AAGUCGUAACAAGGUUUCCGUAGGUGAACCUGCGGAAGGAUCAUUAACACGUAUCCACGUUAUCAACCAAUGUGAACUGUUUUCACCUCUCCCUAUGCUGAGAAUGAAUUGGCAACUUGAUAUAGGCCAUAAAUGGGGCUUGCCGCAAGGCGCCAACCUAUAGAAGCUAUUUAUUAGAGCGAAAGUUUUAAUAGACAAUUGUAUUUCAGUAUUAGGCAUCGUUCCACUAAUUUGGUCUCCAUUUAUGACCGUGUUAGCGGAACACUUUAUUAACCUAUUUCACCCCUUUUUGCUAGUUGACUUUUAUAUGUGCGAUUUUGCGUAAGCAAGAUUCACACGUUUAAUUAUUUGAACGUUAAAAAUACAACUCUUAGCAAUGGAUAUCUUGGUUCUC